UACGUAGGGUGCGAGCGUUGUCCGGAAUUAUUGGGCGUAAAGAGCUCGUAGGCGGUUUGUCGCGUCUGCUGUGAAAACCCGAGGCUCAACCUCGGGCCUGCAGUGGGUACGGGCAGACUAGAGUGCGGUAGGGGAGAUUGGAAUUCCUGGUGUAGCGGUGAAAUGCGCAGAUAUCAGGAGGAACACCGGUGGCGAAGGCGGGUCUCUGGGCCGAUACUGACGCUGAGGAGCGAAAGCGUGGGGAGCAAACAGG
RNAcentral lists this ribosomal RNA (253 nucleotides) under uncultured bacterium. RNAcentral's name for it is "partial 16S ribosomal RNA". It matches the Rfam family "Bacterial small subunit ribosomal RNA", at positions 524 to 776 of the family's 1533-position model. The record is from RNAcentral.